Long non-coding RNA from Mercenaria mercenaria, 2915 nucleotides. RefSeq lists it as uncharacterized. The transcript is spliced from 4 exons. The record is from RefSeq and is a predicted model, not a curated record. NCBI's taxonomy places the organism in Eukaryota, Metazoa, Mollusca, Bivalvia, Venerida, Veneridae.
CUGCCAGUAAUAAAAAAGUCAAUAAAAUCUAUUUAUAGUAACAACAAAGGGAUGUAAUUCUAAAAACAAGGGUGCCUCAUGGUGGUGAACAUUUGGUCCAAGUUACAUCAAAAUCCCUCCAUGCAUGAAGAAGAAAUGUUCCAUACAAAGUCAUUCUUGAAUUUGACCUUUGACUUCUAAAUAUGACCUUGACCUUAGACCUAGGGACCUGAUUCUUGCGCAUGACAUGUUGUCUCAUCCAGGGGAAUAUUUGUGCCAACUGAUAUCUAAAUCCUGCUUUGCAUGACAAAGUUAUAGACCGGACAGGAAAAAAAUCCUCUUGACCUUUGAUCUCAAAGUGUGACCUUGACCUUUAAGCUAGGGUACUGGGUGUUGCGCAUGACAUGUCGUCUCAUCAUGGGAAACAUUUGUGCCAAGUAAUAUUAAAAUCCCUUCAUGGAUGGCAGAGUUAUGGACGGGACAGGAAAAAAACUCUGUUGACCUUUGACCCCCAAUUGUGACCUUGACCUUUGAGCUAGGGGUCCGGGAUUUGCGCAUGACACGUCGUCUCAUCAUGGGGAACACUUGUGCUAAGUAAUAUUAAAAUCCCUUAAUGAAUGUCAGAGUUAUGGACCGGACACGAAACAGACCCUGUUCAUGCUAUGUUAACAUUUGACUGCUAAGUGUGACCUUGACCUUUGAGCUAGGGGUCUGAAAGUUGUGCAUGACAUAUCGUCUUAUUAUGAGGUACAUUUGUGCCAAGUAAUAUUAAAAUCCCUUCAUAGAUGGGAGAGUUAUGGACCGGACAGGAAAAAAACCUUGUAGACCUUUGACCUCCAAUUGUGACCUUGACCUUUAAGCUAGGGGUCCAGGUUUUGCGCAUGACACGUCGUCUCCUCAUGGGGAACAUUUGUGCCAAGUAAUAUUAAAAUCUCUUCAUGGAUGGGAGAGUUAUGGACCGGACAGGAAAAAAGCCCUGUUGACCUUUGACCUCCAAUUGUGACCUUGACCUUUGAGCUAGGGGUCCGGGAUUUACGCACGACACAUCAUCUCAUCAUGGGGAACAUUUUUGCCAAGUAAUACUAAAAUCCCUUCAAGGAUGGGAGAGUUGUGGACCGGACAGGAAAAAAGCCCUGUUGACCUUUGACCUCCUAUUGUGGCCUUGACCUUUGAGCUAGGGGUCUGGGUUUUGCGCAUGACACGUCGUCUCAUCAUGGGGAACAUUUGUGCCAAGUAAUAUUAAAAUCCCUUCAUGGAUGACAGAGUUAUGGACCGGACACGAAAUUGCGGACGGACGGAAUGACGGAAAGACGGAAUGACGGAAAAGAGCAUUCCUAUAGUCCCCAAAACUGGUUUUCAACCAGUAGGGGACUAAUAACCAGGUGACCAACAUGACCAAGUGACUGCCAAGCUUUGAAAAUACCUCUUUUUUAAAUGCAGCAAUUGACGUUCAAGUAACAGGAUAACACCUGACUGCCGUAUGUCUUAGUUAAAAGAAGCAGAAGAAAAUGGUUUAAUUUGUAAAUGCUAAUGAUGUAAAAACUACACUCAAGAGACAGACCUGGUGACAGUAAUGCAGGUUCAGGAAGUGUUCAUACAGUUCAAUAUAAACCUCUUGAGGGAAUCAUUUGAGGAGACUAACCGUCCAGUGUGUUGGUUUAUAACAUGUUUAAACACAGAUAAUAAUGACAUAUUGGUACACUCAGAAUCAACGUGGAAACUGUUGGUGAGAUGUGUACAUCAUUCAGCUUUGGAAUCCUGGAACUCAUGAAGUACAAUGUUCAAAUAGCACUCAGUUCAAUGUUUGAAGAACCUUCAAUGGUAUUUCUGUUUUGCUUGAACAGAACAGUACCGACUCCCAUUACAGUUGUAGAAUUAAGUGACGUGGAAGGCACUGUAGCUCAGCCUAAUUAUUAAUUGUACAAGAAUGUAGCCUGUACAUAUACAUGUUGUAUCAAGAGGAAGUGAAAUUAUUUAUAUGCAUGUCCAGAAGUGACUAGCUGUGUACAUGGAUGUCUUUGUAGAAAACUCAUUAUUGUUAAGUUUUAAACCUUUGCUUUAGUUGCUAAAAUUUUAUUGUAAAACUGAUGAAAUAACCAGCAUCUUUUAAUAUUCUUAAGGAUCACUUAUUCAUAUGAUGGAUUAUUUCUAUUGCAAUGUACUGCUAACUCACAUUGUUGUCACUGUUAUGAUAUGUCACUUAAGGUAUUUCUGCACGUUUGAAAAACCGGAAGUGAUUGCAUAACGUCACUUAUCUGGAAAACGUAGAAUAAUGCCCGGAUUCGGCGUACGGAAACAAAAAUCAGUUUAUGAAUUAAGGACAACCUGUGAAUAAAUGUAUUAAUAUGACACUGUUACUAUCUUUCUAAAGUUAAAAUAUGAUAUUAAAACAUCUUACACGUUAAAUAAUCUAAAAUAAUGUCUUAAAAUUUGCUUGAAAUAGGCAGUUCACUUUAAUCAUAGCCAAAUAUCUCAAAAAUAAGCACAUGGACCUAUACAUUUUAUUUCGUCGUAUUAUAGGCCAUAUGUCUGUUUAUGACUCUGAGAAGUUUCAUUAAAAUCUACAUUGUAGAAAUAUUUCUAUUUGCGAAAAUGGUUUGAAAAUUGCGUUUUUCCCAUAUACUCCCAUUAUGAAAACUUGCGUGAGGUCGAAAUUUUUCAAAUCAGUCUAGCAAAAAAUCAAGCACACAACCCUAUCUUUUUUAUUUUCUGAAUUUUCUUAGAAUAUUUCGAAGUUUUGAAAAAUCAGAGUUUAAUCAAAUUCUACAUUGUAGAAAAAAUUUCCGGUCCUAAAGUGCAGAACUACCUUAACAGAAUGCGAUGCCAUGUAUUUAUGAUUUACUUUACAUUUUUGUAUUUCAUCAAUAAAACAUUAUUAUCAUUAUAAAUUUAUAAUAUAUAAAUUGAGAAGAAUAAAUAUGUUAGGAAACAGUAAA